RNAcentral lists this ribosomal RNA (265 nucleotides) under uncultured bacterium. RNAcentral's name for it is "partial 16S ribosomal RNA". It matches the Rfam family "Bacterial small subunit ribosomal RNA", at positions 89 to 353 of the family's 1533-position model. The record is from RNAcentral.
UGGCGACCGGCGCACGGGUGAGUAACACGUAUCCAACCUGCCGAUGACUCGGGGAUAGCCUUUCGAAAGAAAGAUUAAUACCCGAUGGCAUAGUUCUUCCGCAUGGUGGAACUAUUAAAGAAUUUCGGUCAUCGAUGGGGAUGCGUUCCAUUAGGUUGUUGGCGGGGUAACGGCCCACCAAGCCUUCGAUGGAUAGGGGUUCUGAGAGGAAGGUCCCCCACACUGGUACUGAGACACGGACCAGACUCCUACGGGAGGCAGCAUG